AUUGAACGCUGGCGGCAUGCUUUACACAUGCAAGUCGAACGGCAGCGCGGGCUUCGGCCUGGCGGCGAGUGGCGAACGGGUGAGUAAUGCAUCGGAACGUGCCCAGUAGUGGGGGAUAGCCCGGCGAAAGCCGGAUUAAUACCGCAUACGACCUGAGGGUGAAAGCGGGGGACCGAAAGGCCUCGCGCUAUUGGAGCGGCCGAUGUCGGAUUAGCUAGCUGGUGGGGUAAAGGCUGACCAAGGCGACCAUCCGUAGCUGGUCUGAGAGGACGACCAGCCACACUGGGACUGAGACACGGCCCAGACUCCUACGGGAGGCAGCAGUGGGGAAUUUUGGACAAUGGGGGCAACCCUGAUCCAGCCAUGCCGCGUGCGGGAAGAAGGCCUUCGGGUUGUAAACCGCUUUUGUUCGGGAAGAAAUCCUCUGGGCUAAUACCCCGGGGGGAUGACGGUACCGGAAGAAUAAGCACCGGCUAACUACGUG
RNAcentral lists this ribosomal RNA (484 nucleotides) under uncultured bacterium. Its description in RNAcentral is "partial 16S ribosomal RNA". It matches the Rfam family "Bacterial small subunit ribosomal RNA", at positions 28 to 507 of the family's 1533-position model. The record is from RNAcentral.